UGCAGAGCAGGACAGUGCAGCAGCGCAGCAGUACAGCAGGCAGGGCUGCCCCACCGGGCUCCGAGCAGACCUGUGGGCCCUCAUCCUCAACUCCACAAACCAGCCACAGGACGUGAUGCAUUAUGAACAGCUAACGGCUGGAGUCAUACAACAUGACCUGCUGGUGGACAACCUCAUCUAUAAGGAUGUGAAGCUCACUGCCAGUAAUGAUGACUACUACUUUGUGUUUGAAGAUUUCCUCUAUCAGGUAGGGUUCGCUCUCUGACAGUUCAGCUUUCCAUCUCUUUACCUUCCCUACCAGUACUCUUGUAUAAAGGGAAACCUGGACCCUAUUUUCCCUGUUUUUGUCUAAAGUUCUUAAGCAAGCUGCAAUUUAA
Molecule: non-coding RNA, 377 nt
Organism: Plectropomus leopardus (leopard coralgrouper)
Lineage: Eukaryota; Metazoa; Chordata; Actinopteri; Perciformes; Serranidae
Source: RefSeq, a predicted model, not a curated record